UACGUAGGGGGCGAGCGUUGUCCGGAAUUACUGGGCGUAAAGGGUGCGUAGGCGGUUUGGUAAGUUGGAUGUGAAAUACCCGGGCUUAACUUGGGGGCUGCAUCCAAUACUGUCGGACUUGAGUGCAGGAGAGGAAAGCGGAAUUCCUAGUGUAGCGGUGAAAUGCGUAGAUAUUAGGAGGAACACCGGUGGCGAAGGCGGCUUUCUGGACUGUAACUGACGCUGAGGCACGAAAGCGUGGGGAGCAAACAGG
RNAcentral lists this ribosomal RNA (253 nucleotides) under uncultured organism. RNAcentral's name for it is "partial 16S ribosomal RNA". It matches the Rfam family "Bacterial small subunit ribosomal RNA", at positions 524 to 776 of the family's 1533-position model. The record is from RNAcentral. RNAcentral also lists the same sequence under 1 other name.